UACGUAGGGUGCGAGCGUUGUCCGGAUUUAUUGGGCGUAAAGGGCUCGUAGGCGGCUUGUCGCGUCGGGAGUGAAAGCCCGCUGCUUAACGGCGGGUUUGCUUUCGGUACGGGCUGGCUGGAGUGCGGCAGGGGAGACUGGAAUUCCUGGUGUAGCGGUGGAAUGCGCAGAUAUCAGGAGGAACACCGGUGGCGAAGGCGGGUCUCUGGGCCGUUACUGACGCUGAGGAGCGAAAGCGUGGGGAGCGAACAGG
This 253-nucleotide ribosomal RNA is filed under the name uncultured bacterium. RNAcentral describes it as "partial 16S ribosomal RNA". It matches the Rfam family "Bacterial small subunit ribosomal RNA", at positions 524 to 776 of the family's 1533-position model. The record is from RNAcentral.